This is a non-coding RNA of Acanthosepion pharaonis, 93 nucleotides long. NCBI's taxonomy places the organism in Eukaryota, Metazoa, Mollusca, Cephalopoda, Sepiida, Sepiidae. The record is from the annotation of a GenBank genome assembly.
AAUGAAACACCGGUUCUUCUACGAUCACUGAAGUUAAGCAACGUCGAGACUGGUCAGUACCUAGAUGGGUGACUGCUUGGGAAUACCAGGUAC